GGUGGGCACCAUCCAAUCUGCUGCCAGCACAGCCAGAACACAGUAGGCGGAAGAAGGUGGGAUAGGCUGGCUUGAUGAGCCUUCUGACUUUCACCUUUCUCCCCUGCUGGAUGCAUCCAUCCAUCUCUCCCUCCUGCCUUCAGACAUCAGACUCCAGCUUCUUUGGCCUUUGGACUCUUAGACUUACACUAGUGGUUUGCUGGGGGCUUUCCGGCCUUUGGCCACAGACUGAAGGCUGCAUCGUCAGCUUCCCUACCUUUGAAGAUUUUGGACUUUGACUGAGUCACUAUUGGCUUCUUUCUUCCUCAGCUUGCAGACGGCCUAUCAUGGGACUUCACCUUGUGAUCAAAGGAGAAGGACUGAGGUGUUCUAUCUCUUUCCGGCACAAAUCAUCACUUCACAUAUCCCUUCUAGACAGCAGCUGUAUGAUAGCAUGAUACUUUUUUCUACUUGUUCUGAAGUGUGAACCGGAAAGAGCAGAAAGUGUUAGCCAGAGAAAAGACAUCCCUCUGUGAGG
This 517-nucleotide long non-coding RNA is filed under the name Homo sapiens (human). Its description in RNAcentral is "HSALNT0376751". The record is from RNAcentral. Lineage: Eukaryota; Metazoa; Chordata; Mammalia; Primates; Hominidae.